GGCAGACGGGUGCGUAACACGUAGGUGACCUGCCCUGGAGUGGGGAAUAACUAUCCUAACGGAUAGCUAAUACCGCAUAUGCUCGGUGAUUCAUUUUGCCGAGUAAAGUCGUAAGGCGCUUCAGGAUGGGCCUGCGGCGGAUUAGGUAGUUGGUGGGGUAAUGGCCUACCAAGCCGAUGAUCCGUAGGGGGCGUGAGAGCGUGGCCCCCCACACUGGCACUGAGAUACGGGCCAGACUCCUACGGGAGGCAGCAGUGAGGAAUAUUGCGCAAUGGGCGAAAGCCUGACGCAGCAACGCCGCGUGAGGGACGAAGGCCUUCGGGUCGUAUACCUCUUUUCUGGGGAAAGAGCAAGGACGGUACCUCAGGAAUAAGUCUCGGCUAACUACGUGCCAGCAGCCGCGGUAAAACGUAGGAGGCGAGCGUUAUCCGGAUUUACUGGGCGUAAAGCGCACGCAGGCGGCUUCGUAGUCGGGUGUGAAAGCUCCUAGCUUAACUGGGAGAGGCCACUCGAUACUGCGAGGCUUGAGGUUGGGAGAGGGGUGU
This 545-nucleotide ribosomal RNA is filed under the name uncultured Actinomycetes bacterium. RNAcentral's name for it is "bacterial SSU rRNA". It matches the Rfam family "Bacterial small subunit ribosomal RNA", at positions 97 to 662 of the family's 1533-position model. Lineage: Bacteria; Bacillati; Actinomycetota; Actinomycetes. The record is from RNAcentral.